This 72-nucleotide transfer RNA is filed under the name bacterium (Candidatus Blackallbacteria) CG13_big_fil_rev_8_21_14_2_50_49_14. Its description in RNAcentral is "tRNA-Asn". It matches the Rfam family "tRNA". Rfam says of the family: Transfer RNA (tRNA) molecules are approximately 80 nucleotides in length. Their secondary structure includes four short double-helical elements and three loops (D, anti-codon, and T loops). Further hydrogen bonds mediate the characteristic L-shaped molecular structure. tRNAs have two regions of fundamental functional importance: the anti-codon, which is responsible for specific mRNA codon recognition, and the 3' end, to which the tRNAs corresponding amino acid is attached (by aminoacyl-tRNA synthetases). tRNAs cope with the degeneracy of the genetic code in two manners: having more than one tRNA (with a specific anti-codon) for a particular amino acid; and 'wobble' base-pairing, i.e. permitting non-standard base-pairing at the 3rd anti-codon position. RNAcentral also lists the same sequence under 2 other names. Lineage: Bacteria; Candidatus Blackallbacteria. The record is from RNAcentral.
UCCGGCAUAGCUCAAUGGUAGAGCAAUCGGCUGUUAACCGAUCGGUUGUAGGUUCGAGUCCUACUGCCGGAG